Molecule: ribosomal RNA, 774 nt
Filed under: uncultured bacterium
Lineage: Bacteria
Description: bacterial SSU rRNA
Rfam family: Bacterial small subunit ribosomal RNA
Source: RNAcentral
AGAGUUUGAUUCUGGCUCAGGAUGAACGCUAGCUACAGGCUUAACACAUGCAAGUCGAGGGGCAGCAUGGUCUUAGCUUGCUAAGGCCGAUGGCGACCGGCGCACGGGUGAGUAACACGUAUCCAACCUGCCGUCUACUCUUGGACAGCCUUCUGAAAGGAAGAUUAAUACAAGAUGGCAUCAUGAGUCCGCAUGUUCACAUGAUUAAAGGUGUUCCGGUAGACGAUGGGGAUGCGUUCCAUUAGAUAGUAGGCGGGGUAACGGCCCACCUAGUCUUCGAUGGAUAGGGGUUCUGAGAGGAAGGUCCCCCACAUUGGAACUGAGACACGGUCCAAACUCCUACGGGAGGCAGCAGUGAGGAAUAUUGGUCAAUGGGCGAGAGCCUGAACCAGCCAAGUAGCGUGAAGGAUGACUGCCCUAUGGGUUGUAAACUUCUUUUAUAAAGGAAUAAAGUCGGGUAUGCAUACCCGUUUGCAUGUACUUUAUGAAUAAGGAUCGGCUAACUCCGUGCCAGCAGCCGCGGUAAUACGGAGGAUCCGAGCGUUAUCCGGAUUUAUUGGGUUUAAAGGGAGCGUAGAUGGAUGUUUAAGUCAGUUGUGAAAGUUUGCGGCUCAACCGUAAAAUUGCAGUUGAUACUGGAUAUCUUGAGUGCAGUUGAGGCAGGCGGAAUUCGUGGUGUAGCGGUGAAAUGCUUAGAUAUCACGAAGAACUCCGAUUGCGAAGGCAGCCUGCUAAGCUGCAACUGACAUUGAGGCUCGAAAGUGUGGGUAUCAA